CGGAGGAUCCAAGCGUUAUCCGGAAUCAUUGGGUUUAAAGGGUCCGUAGGCGGCUUUAUAAGUCAGUGGUGAAAUCUCACGGCUCAACCGCGAAAUGGCCAUUGAUACUGUAGGGCUUGAAUUACCAGGAAGUAACUAGAAUAUGUAGUGUAGCGGUGAAAUGCUUAGAUAUUACAUGGAAUACCAAUUGCGAAGGCAGGUUACUACUGGUGGAUUGACGCUGAUGGACGAAAGCGUGGGUAGCGAACAGGAUUAGAUACCCUGGUAGUCCACGCCGUAAACGAUGGAUACUAGCUGUUGGGAGCAAUCUCAGUGGCUAAGCGAAAGUGAUAAGUAUCCCACCUGGGGAGUACGAACGCAAGUUUG
Molecule: ribosomal RNA, 366 nt
Filed under: uncultured organism
Description: bacterial SSU rRNA
Rfam family: Bacterial small subunit ribosomal RNA
Source: RNAcentral